AGAAGCUUCACUGGAAGUGUCUACGAGGCGCUGCAGGAACCUGGAGGAAGCCAACCUGGGCUUGGAAAAGGAAUUGGGAGAGGCUAAAUCCAAGUGGCAGGGUCUGGAAAAGCA
Long non-coding RNA from Calypte anna (Anna's hummingbird), 114 nucleotides. RefSeq lists it as uncharacterized. The record is from RefSeq and is a predicted model, not a curated record. The transcript is spliced from 3 exons. Lineage: Eukaryota; Metazoa; Chordata; Aves; Apodiformes; Trochilidae.